CAGCCGCCGCGGUAAAACGUAGGGUGCGAGCGUUAGUCGGAAUUACUGGGCGUAAAGCGUGCGCAGGCGGUUCGUUAAGACAGAUGUGAAAUCCCCGGGCUUAACCUGGGAACUGCAUUUGUGACUGGCGAGCUAGAGUAUGGCAGAGGGGGGUAGAAUUCCACGUGUAGCAGUGAAAUGCGUAGAGAUGUGGAGGAAUACCGAUGGCGAAGGCAGCCCCCUGGGCCAAUACUGACGCUCAUGCACGGAAGCGUGGGGAGCAAACAGGAUUAGAUACCCCUGUAGUCCCUGUCUCUUAUAC
RNAcentral lists this ribosomal RNA (301 nucleotides) under uncultured bacterium. RNAcentral describes it as "partial 16S ribosomal RNA". It matches the Rfam family "Bacterial small subunit ribosomal RNA", at positions 509 to 807 of the family's 1533-position model. The record is from RNAcentral.